This 2989-nucleotide ribosomal RNA is filed under the name Salmonella enterica subsp. enterica serovar Typhimurium. Its description in RNAcentral is "23S ribosomal RNA". It matches the Rfam family "Bacterial large subunit ribosomal RNA". The record is from RNAcentral. Lineage: Bacteria; Pseudomonadati; Pseudomonadota; Gammaproteobacteria; Enterobacterales; Enterobacteriaceae.
GGUUAAGCGACUAAGCGUACACGGUGGAUGCCCCGGCAGUCAGAGGCGAUGAAGGGCGUGCUAAUCUGCGAUAAGCGCCGGUAAGGUGAUAUGAACCGUUAUAACCGGCGAUACCCGAAUGGGGAAACCCAGUGUGAUUCGUCACACUAUCAUUAACUGAAUCCAUAGGUUAAUGAGGCGAACCGGGGGAACUGAAACAUCUAAGUACCCCGAGGAAAAGAAAUCAACCGAGAUUCCCCCAGUAGCGGCGAGCGAACGGGGAGGAGCCCAGAGCCUGAAUCAGCAUGUGUGUUAGUGGAAGCGUCUGGAAAGGCGCGCGAUACAGGGUGACAGCCCCGUACACAAAAGCGCAUGUGCUGUGAGCUCGAUGAGUAGGGCGGGACACGUGGUAUCCUGUCUGAAUAUGGGGGGACCAUCCUCCAAGGCUAAAUACUCCUGACUGACCGAUAGUGAACCAGUACCGUGAGGGAAAGGCGAAAAGAACCCCGGCGAGGGGAGUGAAAAAGAACCUGAAACCGUGUACGUACAAGCAGUGGGAGCACCCUUCGGGGUGUGACUGCGUACCUUUUGUAUAAUGGGUCAGCGACUUAUAUUCUGUAGCAAGGUUAACCGUAUAGGGGAGCCGGAGGGAAACCGAGUCUUAACCGGGCGUUAAGUUGCAGGGUAUAGACCCGAAACCCGGUGAUCUAGCCAUGGGCAGGUUGAAGGUUGGGUAACACUAACUGGAGGACCGAACCGACUAAUGUUGAAAAAUUAGCGGAUGACCUGUGGCUGGGGGUGAAAGGCCAAUCAAACCGGGAGAUAGCUGGUUCUCCCCGAAAGCUAUUUAGGUAGCGCCUCGUGAAUUCAUCUCCGGGGGUAGAGCACUGUUUCGGCUAGGGGGCCAUCCCGGCUUACCAACCCGAUGCAAACUGCGAAUACCGGAGAAUGUUAUCACGGGAGACACACGGCGGGUGCUAACGUCCGUCGUGAAGAGGGAAACAACCCAGACCGCCAGCUAAGGUCCCAAAGUCAUGGUUAAGUGGGAAACGAUGUGGGAAGGCCCAGACAGCCGGGAUGUUGGCUUAGAAGCAGCCAUCAUUUAAAGAAAGCGUAAUAGCUCACUGGUCGAGUCGGCCUGCGCGGAAGAUGUAACGGGGCUAAACCAUGCACCGAAGCUGCGGCAGCGAACGUAUCACCCAAGACAACUUUACGGAGUUGACGAUUGACGGAGCGAAGCGACGUCAAAGCGUUCAUUAAAGUCGAGUUGGCUUAGGGAUACGUUCGUUGGGUAGGGGAGCGUUCUGUAAGCCUGUGAAGGUGUGUCGUGAGGCAUGCUGGAGGUAUCAGAAGUGCGAAUGCUGACAUAAGUAACGAUAAAGCGGGUGAAAAGCCCGCUCGCCGGAAGACCAAGGGUUCCUGUCCAACGUUAAUCGGGGCAGGGUGAGUCGACCCCUAAGGCGAGGCCGAAAGGCGUAGUCGAUGGGAAACGGGUUAAUAUUCCCGUACUUGGUGUUACUGCGAAGGGGGGACGGAGAAGGCUAUGUUGGCCGGGCGACGGUUGUCCCGGUUUAAGCGUGUAGGUGUGUGUUCCGGUAAAUCCGGUUCACUUUAACACUGAGGCGUGACGACGAGGCACUACGGUGCUGAAGCAACAAAUGCCCUGCUUCCGGGAAAAGCCUCUAAGCAUCAGGUAACAUCAAAUCGUACCCCAAACCGACACAGGUGGUCAGGUAGAGAAUACCAAGGCGCUUGAGAGAACUCGGGUGAAGGAACUAGGCAAAAUGGUGCCGUAACUUCGGGAGAAGGCACGCUGACACGUAGGUGAAGUGAUUUACUCAUGGAGCUGAAGUCAGUCGAAGAUACCAGCUGGCUGCAACUGUUUAUUAAAAACACAGCACUGUGCAAACACGAAAGUGGACGUAUACGGUGUGACGCCUGCCCGGUGCCGGAAGGUUAAUUGAUGGGGUCAGCGCAAGCGAAGCUCCUGAUCGAAGCCCCGGUAAACGGCGGCCGUAACUAUAACGGUCCUAAGGUAGCGAAAUUCCUUGUCGGGUAAGUUCCGACCUGCACGAAUGGCGUAAUGAUGGCCGGGCUGUCUCCACCCGAGACUCAGUGAAAUUGAACUCGCUGUGAAGAUGCAGUGUACCCGCGGCAAGACGGAAAGACCCCGUGAACCUUUACUAUAGCUUGACACUGAACAUUGAGCCUUGAUGUGUAGGAUAGGUGGGAGGCUUUGAAGUGUGGACGCCAGUCUGCAUGGAGCCGACCUUGAAAUACCACCCUUUAAUGUUUGAUGUUCUAACGUGGACCCGUAAUCCGGGUUGCGGACAGUGUCUGGUGGGUAGUUUGACUGGGGCGGUCUCCUCCUAAAGAGUAACGGAGGAGCACGAAGGUUGGCUAAUCCUCGGUCGGACAUCAGGAGGUUAGUGCAAUGGCAUAAGCCAGCUUGACUGCGAGCGUGACGGCGCGAGCAGGUGCGAAAGCAGGUCAUAGUGAUCCGGUGGUUCUGAAUGGAAGGGCCAUCGCUCAACGGAUAAAAGGUACUCCGGGGAUAACAGGCUGAUACCGCCCAAGAGUUCAUAUCGACGGCGGUGUUUGGCACCUCGAUGUCGGCUCAUCACAUCCUGGGGCUGAAGUAGGUCCCAAGGGUAUGGCUGUUCGCCAUUUAAAGUGGUACGCGAGCUGGGUUUAGAACGUCGUGAGACAGUUCGGUCCCUAUCUGCCGUGGGCGCUGGAGAACUGAGGGGGCUGCUCCUAGUACGAGAGGACCGGAGUGGACGCAUCACUGGUGUUCGGGUUGUCAUGCCAAUGGCACUGCCCGGUAGCUAAAUGCGGAAGAGAUAAGUGCUGAAAGCAUCUAAGCACGAAACUUGCCCCGAGAUGAGUUCUCCCUGAGACUUAGAGUCUCCUGAAGGAACGUUGAAGACGACGACGUUGAUAGGCCGGGUGUGUAAGCGCAGCGAUGCGUUGAGCUAACCGGUACUAAUGAACCGUGAGGCUUAACCUU